This 1349-nucleotide long non-coding RNA is filed under the name Homo sapiens (human). Its description in RNAcentral is "HSALNT0338767". The record is from RNAcentral. Lineage: Eukaryota; Metazoa; Chordata; Mammalia; Primates; Hominidae.
UUUGUCUUCAGUGCACAUGCUCCAAGAUGAAUGAGGUGAAAGUUUGUCUUCAGUGCACAUGCUUCCAGUUGAAUGAGUGAAAGUUUGUCUUCAGAGCACAUGCUUCCAGCUGAAUGAGUGAAAGUUUGUCUUCAGUGCACAUGCUCCCAGCUGAAUGAGGCGAAAGUUUGUCUUCAGUGCACAUGCUCCCAGCUGAAUGAGGUGAUGCUCGGCCUUCUGGUUUUAACUCAUACUGUAAGCAACUGUUUUCUUUUCACAGUUUAUUUUUUAUUUUUUAUUUUAUUUUAUUUUUUGAGACGGAGUCUCGCUCUUUGGCCCAGGCCAGAGUGCAGUGGCGCAGUCUUGCCUCACCGCAAGCUCCGCCUCCCGGCAUGAACCCUCAGCCUCCCUUGUAGCUGGGACUACAUUCACAGUUUAUUUAGUGCCACUUUUUUCGCCGCAUUUUUAUGCUUUUUGUUGGUGAUUUCACUGUUUAAAAUAGCCUCAAGCACAGUGCGGAAGUGCUGCUUAGCGUUCCUGAGAGCAAGAAGGCUGUGAGGUGCCUUUCGGAGAAAACACGCAUUAGAUAAGCUUCAUUCAGACAUGAGUUACAGUGCCGUUGGUCAUGUUACUUACUCUACAAUAUAUACUAAGUAAGGUGUCUUUAAACAGAAACAUACAUAAAACAAGGUUGUAUAUUGAUGGGGUGAUGCUGUGUCCUGAGGCUCACGGGAACCUAACGCGGUCUUUCCUCCAUGAGCGAUGGUUCACUGUUCACUAAUUCAAUGUUCGUGCUGAAAAAGAAAAAUGACAUCCUAAGCCCCUGAGCUGACUGAAUGGACUCCUUGUUGGCCAAGGGGGCGCCAGAGAAAUUUUAAAAGCUGAGUUCCUGGCCAUGAUGGAAUGGGGAGUUUGGACACGCCUUGUUAUACCCCCUCCCUCGCUAAUCGCCAUUAGACUUCCUUACGCGAGGGUCAAUCAGAAGCCACAGCCCUUUCCAAAGACUUGCCAGACUCCCCUUCCGUGGUUUUGACACAGUGACGAACCGGCAUUCCUUCCUGAUAAGAGACCACCGACCGUGGACUGCUUCUGGCCGGUGUACAGUGGCUGCACACGGGAUGCCUCUGCGCCCUCCAUUUCAUCUUCUACAUACAGACCUAAUUUUAGUGCAUUUAAACGUUAAGUGCUCACCCCAGAUUGAAUGUGGACGGACAUGCAUGCAUGUUUGCUCUCUAUGCAUGCAUCCAUCCAUCAUGAAUAACCUGUUAGAUACAUGUACUUAGCCAACCCAUUUGGCAUAAAUCCCUGUUCCAGCCUUUCCGCCCUCAAAGUGCCUGCUUUUGGUUUCUGCUUCCUAGCCUGCAAGAUGG